Molecule: long non-coding RNA, 1538 nt
Filed under: Mytilus galloprovincialis (Mediterranean mussel)
Lineage: Eukaryota; Metazoa; Mollusca; Bivalvia; Mytilida; Mytilidae
Source: RNAcentral
GGGGUCUUAAGUUUACGACAAAAGUUAUGACAAAUCGUAACUUAGUACAUGUCCUAAGACCUUUGUAAGACAUGUCUUAAUCAUAAGAUACUUUCGAAAACCAGGUACCAGAGGAUUAAGUUGAGACAAUUUUUAUAAAAGAUUACAAGCAUUUACCUAAAAAUGACUAUAAAAAUAACUCCUCAAUGGGUCAAUCGACAAUUUUGGUCAUAAUGAAUUAUUUGAUGAUCGUACUUUGCUGAACAUAUUUCAGGGAAAGCAACCCAACAACGGGAUGUCUGAAUUGUCUUAAAAUUUCAGGGCGGACAUUUCCUAACCUGAAUACCCUUGUGAUGAUUGUGGCAAACUUUUGUUAAAUUUGGCCCAUAAGUUUCAGAAAAGAAGAUUUUGUAAAAUUUAACGGAAGACGACGAACGCCAAGUGAUGAGAACAAAAAAAAAAGAACAUAUUCCUUCAACGAGUAAUAUUAGUUCUUUUCCUCCUUCAAAAGUACUAUAGUUGUCUACAAGUUCAGUAAGAAUGACGAUUAAAACCAUCACGUUCUACUAAAAAGAUAGGUAUAUGGAUAGAUAGAUAAAUACAUUUAUUUUCUAAAAAAAACUAAUACACAAGUAUAUAUACAAAGUACAAUAUAAAUACAAAUACAAUAGUUGAGUAAAACAGAUGCAGUAUGAUAAUGUAUAAGGAAGCACAUCUUUAUAAUGACACACUUGUAUAAUAAACAGUUAAACUAAAUAUGAAGUCUGGUUCAUUUAGUUUAUAUGGAGGGAAUAAUCUUUUUAUAAAUACACUUAAUGAGUGCACACAGUUUUCUUAAAACUAAUAUGUUUGUAGUACUCAACAAUGGAAAAAUAUACAUAUGCUGAUGGAUACUUAUUGUAAAAAGACCAGGAUAAAAUGUUCAAAAGAACAUCAACAUUUAGACAUACACUUACUGUGAUCAAAUUGUUAAAUAUGCCUUGCAUUGUAUAAUGAAAGGAGCAAUUAUAACGAUAGUCAAUUAAACAUCAAUAACUGUUUACCCUUUUGAAGUAAAUAACCUUAUUCUGGUCAUUUGGUGGGUUUACGUUGUUUAGUCUCAAAUUUUCUGUGUAUCAUGGUGGACUUCUGUCGUUUGUUUUGCUAUUUGCUAUUUAAUUGCUCCUUUGCUACCUUAAGGAUGUAAAGGUGAGGUUUUGGAAUAAGUGUCAAAUGUUAGGACUUCUCAGUGUUUUUCUAUACGACACAAGGUAAAAUCUUUUGCCGCAUAACACCUAUUUAUUUUGUUUACGUAAGAAGUAAUCACUCAUAAAAGGUCGUUUAACAAAAUUUAAGCAGAUUCUUGAUUUUCUUUCUGUUGAUUUGAGACCCAAAUAAUACCAAUGCAUAUAUAAGAUAAAAGUCUGAGUCAGCCUUUUCCCGCCAUAUUUUAAAAAUCAAAUAUCUGGAAAAGGAGCUCACUGACCUCUCAAUAUGUUUAGCUUAUUUUGAUCCUUAAAUAAAACUCUUCCAGCUUAAGCUUCAAUUUUGAAUUCUUGAAUUAUUUAAUUUUACCUUAG